UAGACCUUCGAAAGCCUCCACGACCUGCCACGCCCUGUCUCCCCAUCCCUACCUGCCAGAACUCACCGCCACAGCAGACUCUGCUUCAAGUUCUGCCCUUCUCUGUGUUUAAGCCAAAUGGCCCUUCCCUUCAAUUCCAGUGUCAGAGCUGCAUCCUCAUUAGACCUUCCCUGACCACCGGAGCCCACAGUGAUCUCGAAGCAUCGAUCUUUCCUUCCCCUGAACUUCUGUAGCAAUUAUUGCCUACACCACAAAUUCGGGACUGAAUAGUAUGCUGCUGGGGUCAUUGUUCAGCGUUUCGUUGGAAUGCUUCUUGUCUUCCCAAUCGGAUGUUAAGGGCAUGGAGGUCCGAGAUGGGGUGGAUCCUUCUUUGUAUCCAGCGUUGUGGCCACCAAGCACAUGGCCCUUCAAACUCCGUUUCAGAAGUGAUGGGCUGGGGGCCGAUGGAAGCCCCAGAAACCUGUUUUUCCCUCCGUGGAGCAGAGGGACUGGUUCAGUGGGUGGAGGCCCUGGGACCCUGGGAGGAGCAGCUCGCGGGAGAAGACUUUCUCAUUCCACGGGUGGUUGCUUCUGAGAGUCAACUAUGUCAGCCAGGGACAAAUACAGUCCAACUGGUGCUGUCGCCAGCUUCUCCAGCUCCCACGGACUCCCCCCUGCGGGGAGGAAAAGGAAGGGCCACCCUGGAUGCUUCAGCACCUCUGUCCCUGCCCCUGGCUGG
RNAcentral lists this long non-coding RNA (718 nucleotides) under Equus asinus (donkey). RNAcentral's name for it is "lncRNA (ENSEASG00005038148.1)". The record is from RNAcentral. Lineage: Eukaryota; Metazoa; Chordata; Mammalia; Perissodactyla; Equidae.